Molecule: ribosomal RNA, 429 nt
Filed under: uncultured bacterium
Lineage: Bacteria
Description: bacterial SSU rRNA
Rfam family: Bacterial small subunit ribosomal RNA
Source: RNAcentral
UGAGGAAUCUUGCGCAAUGGGGGAAACCCUGACGCAGCAACGCCGCGUGAGUGAGGAAGGCUUUCGGGUCGUAAAGCUCUGUCAGAUGGGAAGAAAUGGAUGGAAGCCAAUACCUUUCAUUCUUGACGGUACCUCAGGAAUAAGCGUCGGCUAACUACGUGCCAGCAGCCGCGGUAAUACGUAGGACGCGAGCGUUAUCCGGAUUCACUGGGCGUAAAGCGCCUGCAGGCGGUUUCGUAAGUUGGGUGUGAAAGCCCCAGGCUUAACCUGGGGAGGCCAUUCAAUACUGCGGAGCUUGAGGACGGGAGAGGGAAGCGGAAUUCCCGGUGUAGCGGUAAAAUGCGCAGAUAUCGGGAGGAACACCAGUGGCGAAGGCGGCUUCCUGGCCCGUUCCUGACGCUCGGAGGCGAAAGCUAGGGGAGCAAACAG